AGAGUUUGAUCCUGGCUCAGGAUGAACGCUAGCGGCAGGCCUAACACAUGCAAGUCGAGGGGCAGCGGGAGGUAGCAAUACCUUGCCGGCGACCGGCGCAAGGGUGCGCAACGCGUGAGCAACAUGCCCGCAUCAGGGGGAUAACCUCUGGAAACGGAGACUAAUACCCCAUGGCACCGGGAGGGGGCAUCCCCAUCCGGUUAAAGCUUCGGUGGAUGCGGAUUGGCUCGCGUGACAUUAGCUGGAUGGCGGGGCAACGGCCCACCAUGGCUACGAUGUCUAGGGGUUCUGAGAGGAAGAUCCCCCACACUGGAACUGAGACACGGUCCAGACUCCUACGGGAGGCAGCAGUGAGGAAUAUUGGACAAUGGAAGGAAUUCUGAUCCAGCCAUGCCGCGUGCAGGUUACGGCCCUACGGGUCUUAAACUGCUUUUGCAGGGGGGCAAUAAGGUCCACGUGUGGACCGAUGAGAGUACCCUGCGAAUAAGCAUCGGCUAACUCCGUGCCAGCAGCCGCGGUAAUACGGAGGAUGCGAGCGUUAUCCGGAUUCAUUGGGUUUAAAGGGUGCGUAGGCGGUCUGUUAAGUCAGCGGUGAAAUACCCCGGCUCAACCGGGGGGGUGCCGUUGAUGCUGGCGGACUGGGAUACGGAUGCUGUGGGAGGAAUGUGUGGUGUAGCGGUGAAAUGCAUAGAUAUCACACAGAACACCGAUUGCGAAGGCAUCUCACAAAUCCGGGAUCGACGCUGAUGCACGAAAGUGCGGGGAUCAAACAGGAUUAGAUACCCUGGUAGUCCGCACUGUAAACGAUGAUGACUAGCUGUUGGCGAUAGAAUGUCAGUGGCCAAGCGAAAGCGAUAAGUCAUCCACCUGGGGAGUACGGCCGCAAGGCUGAAACUCAAAGGAAUUGACGGGGGCCCGCACAAGCGGAGGAACAUGUGGUUUAAUUCGAUGAUACGCGAGGAACCUUACCCGGGCUCGAACGGCUGGGGAAUAUUCCAGAGAUGGGAUAGUCUUCGGACUCCAGCCGAGGUGCUGCAUGGUUGUCGUCAGCUCGUGCCGUGAGGUGUCGGCUUAAGUGCCAUAACGAGCGCAACCCUUGUCGUCAGUUGCCAUCAGGUAGUGCUGGGGACUCUGGCGAGACUGCCACCGCAAGGUGCGAGGAAGGGGGGGAUGACGUCAAAUCAGCACGGCCCUUACGUCCGGGGCGACACACGUGUUACAAUGGCAGGUACAGAGGGGAGCUACACGGCGACGUGAUGCGAAUCUCGAAAGCCUGUCCCAGUUCGGAUUGGAGUCUGCAACCCGACUCCAUGAAGUUGGAUUCGCUAGUAAUCGCGCAUCAGCCACGGCGCGGUGAAUACGUUCCCGGGCCUUGUACACACCGCCCGUCAAGCCAUGGGAGCUGGGGGCGCCUGAAGUCCGGGACCGCGAGGACCGGCCAAGGGUGAAACCGGUGACUGGGGCUAAGUCGUAACAAGGUAACC
This 1484-nucleotide ribosomal RNA is filed under the name uncultured bacterium. Its description in RNAcentral is "bacterial SSU rRNA". It matches the Rfam family "Bacterial small subunit ribosomal RNA". The record is from RNAcentral.